Molecule: long non-coding RNA, 249 nt
Filed under: Nicotiana benthamiana
Lineage: Eukaryota; Viridiplantae; Streptophyta; Magnoliopsida; Solanales; Solanaceae
Description: long non-coding RNA (NBEN_LNC018449)
Source: RNAcentral
GGUUCCGGGCCCACAAUCGACCACAAGUUUGGACCUAAUAUCGAGCUUCUCACGGGAGAUGGGAUCAUGCCCUUUGCUAUUGAACUACUAGCCAAAGACAUGAGCCCGGCUCAAGAGAACUCGGACAAGAUCUUAAGGGUUAUAACUGAGGUCACACGGGCCGUAGGGUCACAAGGGCUGUUAGAAGGCCAGUUUAGGGCUGUAGAAUGGACUCAAUCAGGCAAUGGAGAUGAGGAAAUGUUGGAAUAU